This 253-nucleotide ribosomal RNA is filed under the name uncultured bacterium. RNAcentral's name for it is "partial 16S ribosomal RNA". It matches the Rfam family "Bacterial small subunit ribosomal RNA", at positions 524 to 776 of the family's 1533-position model. The record is from RNAcentral.
UACGUAGGGUGCAAGCGUUAAUCGGAAUUACUGGGCGUAAAGUGUGCGCAGGCGGCGCUGCAAGUCGAGUGUGAAAUCCCCGAGCUUAACUUGGGAAUUGCGCUCGAAACUACGGCGCUGGAGUAUGGCAGAGGAAGGUGGAAUUCCACGUGUAGCGGUGAAAUGCGUAGAGAUGUGGAGGAACACCGAUGGCGAAGGCAGCCUUCUGGGCCAAUACUGACGCUCAUGCACGAAAGCGUGGGGAGCAAACAGG